Osmerus eperlanus (European smelt) is the source of this 3092-nucleotide RNA transcript. It is a transcript of the gene named solute carrier family 7 member 6, with no coding region annotated. The transcript is spliced from 9 exons. The record is from RefSeq and is a predicted model, not a curated record. Lineage: Eukaryota; Metazoa; Chordata; Actinopteri; Osmeriformes; Osmeridae.
UCACUCUCUCCCUGUGUGUGGCAUGCCACAGUGGUAUCCAUCGUGAUAGCACCACAGGUCCCUUCUUCUAUGAUUAUCUGGUGUCUAGAGGAGACAGUGGGCAUACAUCAAUGCUAUGAUCCCCCUCUACAGCCACAGGUUUUAGCUUAACUAUGGAGUUGAUAGAGCUUGUGAGAUCCCCAGAAGUCUCAGGGGUGUGGCUUCAUCUCCAUCUACCCAUACACAGUACCAGCCUGGCCCUGGCAGCAUCUACAGAUGGGUGGGUGUACAAUGGCUGGUACCUCCUUUCAUAUGAGUCUCCUGAGAACAGGGAAGCCUGCAUGUGCUGCAUGUGAAGCUGCCUGAUCUAACACUGAACUGAGGCAUUCCUCCUGACAGCGUCUCACAAACACACCGAGAAACAAACACACUCACAAUGUCAAGUCACGCUACUGAACAUUGAUUACAUUCCUUACAUGCACACUACAAAAGCUUGCCCCACCCCUAUCCCUUAUACACAAUCCUGACACCUUAAACCAAGAUCUGACCCCUAGACCCGGUUAUUUUUCUUUUUUUUUCUUAUAUAUUUUUUAGAAGCAUUACUGCCUUUAUAAUUUUGGGGGUAGAGAUCAUGUGUGUAGAGAGGACAGGAAAUGUGGAGAGAGAGAGAGGGGAAAACAUGGUAAAGGGCCUGGGCCGGAUUCGAACCCAGGCUGCCGGAGCGAGGCCUCAGCCUAAAUGGUGCAUGCGUGCAACUCCGGUAAGUUACUGGGGCGCCCCUAGACCCAGCCCUGACCCCUAGACCCAGCCUUGACCCUUAGGCAUUGUCCUGAACCCUAGACCCAGCCCUGACCGUUAAACCUAGCCUCGACGUAGACUCUUUCUGCUUCUCUCUCCAGGGCAGGUAGUACACCACCCAGAGGCCUUGUGUCUCUGAUAGCAGUACGUCACCAUGGAAAACCAGGAAGAGAGCAGGAAGUUGAACGGUAGCUCCAGCCCCUCGCCCCCGGCCCCUCCUAAAGAGAGCAUGCAGCUGAAGAAGGAGAUCUCCCUCCUCAACGGUGUCAGCCUCAUCGUGGGCAACAUGAUCGGCUCCGGCAUCUUCGUCUCCCCCAAAGGGGUGCUGAUCUACAGCGCCUCCUACGGGCUGUCGCUGGUCAUCUGGGCCAUCGGGGGCAUGUUCUCCGUGAUCGGGGCGCUGUGCUACGCAGAGCUAGGCACUACCAUCACCAAGUCGGGCGCCAGCUAUGCCUACAUUCUGGAGGCCUUCGGUGGCUUCAUCGCCUUCAUCCGGCUGUGGACGUCGCUGCUGAUCAUUGAGCCCACCAGCCAGGCAGUUAUCGCCAUCACCUUCGCCAACUACCUGGUGCAGCCACUCUUCCCUACCUGCGAGCCCCCGUACGCUGGAGCCAGACUGCUGGCUGCCGCCUGCAUCUGCCUGCUGACAUUCAUCAACUCUGCGUAUGUGAAGUGGGGCACCAGGGUCCAAGAUGUCUUCACCUACGCCAAGGUGGCAGCUCUCAUCGUCAUCAUCAUCACCGGCAUAGUCAAGCUCUGCCUUGGUAACACAGUGAACUUUGAGGCUUCGUUCGAGGGCUCGUCAGUGAACCCUGGUGACAUUGCCCUGGCCCUCUACUCUGCCCUCUUCUCUUACUCUGGCUGGGAUACGCUCAAUUUUGUUACGGAGGAGAUCAAGAACCCUGAGAGGAACCUGCCCCUGUCCAUCGCCAUCUCCAUGCCAAUCGUCACGGUGAUUUACAUUAUGACUAACGUGGCGUACUACACCGUACUCGACAUGAGCGCCAUCCUGGCUAGCGACGCCGUCGCCGUGACAUUUGCCGACCACACUCUGGGUGUCAUGAGCUGGACCAUCCCCAUCGCUGUGGCUCUGUCCUGCUAUGGAGGACUCAAUGCCUCCAUCAUUGCUGCCUCCAGGUUGUUCUUCGUGGGAGCUCGUGAAGGUCACCUCCCUGAUGCUCUUUCCAUGAUCCAUGCUGAGCGGUACACCCCUGUACCUGCUCUUCUCUUCAACUGUGCCAUGGCCCUGGUCUACCUGACAGUGGAGGACGUCUUCCAGCUCAUCAACUACUACAGCUUCAGCUACUGGUUCUUCAUGGGGCUGUCCAUCGCUGGGCAGAUCUACCUGCGCUUCAAGGAGCCAGACAGACCCAGGCCUCUCAAGUGCCUCUCUACAGCGACACCAUCAACUCCCUCAUAGGCAUCGGCAUUGCCCUCUCCGGUGUGCCUGUCUACUUCCUGGGUGUCCACCUCCCCGAGGACCGGCGGCCACCCUACGUCACCAAAAUUCUCCAUGCCAUCACCAGUUUUACCCAGUACACCUGCUUCUGUGUUCUGACUGAGUUGGACAAGAGUGAGUAGGACUGCCAUGACACUGCCUUCCUGACUACAACCUCAAGGACUCAACUACAUAUCCCAGGAUCCUUUGCAACCAAGGACUGUUUUACAGCAUGGCUGAACUGACAAGCUGAAACACUGCUGUUUACAAUCGACACUAUGUACAUAUGUUUACACUCAGUCACACACACACGGACAUGGGGCAAAUAGUAAAUAAAGUGUGCACUGUACAAAGUGUGUGUACACACACACACGCACUCGCACACAUUCACACACGUUCCCUUACACUCUCUUUCAAAUACUCUAACACAAGUUACUGUGAAAUGACACAGUGGACUCUCUGUGCCAUAUACAGCAAACUACGGGCCACUGAGGUGCAAGGGUGGUCAAGAACUCGGGUCACAGGUCAUGUGUGACCCUAUGUGACCCAGGCAGGUAAUUGAGGGCAACUGAAUGGAAGCCUUGGCAUUGAAGCCCUCUCCGUCUGCAGGUUCCUGUUCUCUACAGGUAACCCUCUGGUCAAGGUGUGUCCCGCUGAGACCCAGUCAGGAUGGGGGAACGUGUGGAGGUGUGUCAGGGUGGAGGGAAGGCGUCUCUUACAGAUAUAUCUGGAGCUGUGCUCUAGUAAAGGGGCAGCUUACACUGACAUUAGACAGGGAAUCAUAGAAAUGCAGUACAAAACAGUAUACACAAUACAGUAUAUAUAUUUAUUAUAGACAUACAGUAUACAUUCACAAUAAAUACUUAUUUGUCACAGA